Molecule: ribosomal RNA, 460 nt
Filed under: uncultured bacterium
Lineage: Bacteria
Description: partial 16S ribosomal RNA
Rfam family: Bacterial small subunit ribosomal RNA
Source: RNAcentral
CCUACGGGAGGCAGCAGUGAGGAAUAUUGGUCAAUGGACGAGAGUCUGAACCAGCCAAGUAGCGUGAAGGAUGACUGCCCUAUGGGUUGUAAACUUCUUUUAUAUGGGAAUAAAACGUUCCACGUGUGGGAUUUUGUAUGUACCAUAUGAAUAAGGAUCGGCUAACUCCGUGCCAGCAGCCGCGGUAAUACGGAGGAUCCGAGCGUUAUCCGGAUUUAUUGGGUUUAAAGGGAGCGUAGGUGGAUUGUUAAGUCAGUUGUGAAAGUUUGCGGCUCAACCGUAAAAUUGCAGUUGAAACUGGCAGUCUUGAGUACAGUAGAGGUGGGCGGAAUUCGUGGUGUAGCGGUGAAAUGCUUAGAUAUCACGAAGAACUCCAAUUGCGAAGGCAGUUCACUGGACUGCAACUGACACUGAGGCUCGAAAGUGUGGGUAUCAAACAGGAUUAGAUACCCUUGUAGUC